GUCCAGGGAUGGGAAUCGAAUCCACAGUGUUCCGCUUACCGGGCAGAUGCCAUGUCCACUAAGCUACCCUGGA
Cordylochernes scorpioides is the source of this 73-nucleotide non-coding RNA. NCBI's taxonomy places the organism in Eukaryota, Metazoa, Arthropoda, Arachnida, Pseudoscorpiones, Chernetidae. The record is from the annotation of a GenBank genome assembly.